This 1094-nucleotide ribosomal RNA is filed under the name Vibrio sp. 776M. Its description in RNAcentral is "bacterial SSU rRNA". It matches the Rfam family "Bacterial small subunit ribosomal RNA", at positions 375 to 1463 of the family's 1533-position model. The record is from RNAcentral. Lineage: Bacteria; Pseudomonadati; Pseudomonadota; Gammaproteobacteria; Vibrionales; Vibrionaceae.
GCGCAGCCUGAUGCGCCAUGCCGCGUGUGUGAAGAAGGCCUUCGGGUUGUAAAGCACUUUCAGUCGUGAGGAAGGUAGUGUAGUUAAUAGCUGCAUUAUUUGACGUUAGCGACAGAAGAAGCACCGGCUAACUCCGUGCCAGCAGCCGCGGUAAUACGGAGGGUGCGAGCGUUAAUCGGAAUUACUGGGCGUAAAGCGCAUGCAGGUGGUUUGUUAAGUCAGAUGUGAAAGCCCGGGGCUCAACCUCGGAAUAGCAUUUGAAACUGGCAGACUAGAGUACUGUAGAGGGGGGUAGAAUUUCAGGUGUAGCGGUGAAAUGCGUAGAGAUCUGAAGGAAUACCGGUGGCGAAGGCGGCCCCCUGGACAGAUACUGACACUCAGAUGCGAAAGCGUGGGGAGCAAACAGGAUUAGAUACCCUGGUAGUCCACGCCGUAAACGAUGUCUACUUGGAGGUUGUGGCCUUGAGCCGUGGCUUUCGGAGCUAACGCGUUAAGUAGACCGCCUGGGGAGUACGGUCGCAAGAUUAAAACUCAAAUGAAUUGACGGGGGCCCGCACAAGCGGUGGAGCAUGUGGUUUAAUUCGAUGCAACGCGAAGAACCUUACCUACUCUUGACAUCCAGAGAACUUUCCAGAGAUGGAUUGGUGCCUUCGGGAACUCUGAGACAGGUGCUGCAUGGCUGUCGUCAGCUCGUGUUGUGAAAUGUUGGGUUAAGUCCCGCAACGAGCGCAACCCUUAUCCUUGUUUGCCAGCGAGUAAUGUCGGGAACUCCAGGGAGACUGCCGGUGAUAAACCGGAGGAAGGUGGGGACGACGUCAAGUCAUCAUGGCCCUUACGAGUAGGGCUACACACGUGCUACAAUGGCGCAUACAGAGGGCGGCCAACUUGCGAAAGUGAGCGAAUCCCAAAAAGUGCGUCGUAGUCCGGAUUGGAGUCUGCAACUCGACUCCAUGAAGUCGGAAUCGCUAGUAAUCGUGGAUCAGAAUGCCACGGUGAAUACGUUCCCGGGCCUUGUACACACCGCCCGUCCCACCAUGGGAGUGGGCUGCAAAAGAAGUAGGUAGUUUAACCUUCGGGGGGACGCUUACCACUUU